GACGAACGCUGGCGGCGUGCCUAAUACAUGCAAGUAGAACGCUGAAGAGAGGAGCUUGCUCUUCUUGGAUGAGUUGCGAACGGGUGAGUAACGCGUAGGUAACCUGCCUUGUAGCGGGGGAUAACUAUUGGAAACGAUAGCUAAUACCGCAUAACAAUGGAUGACACAUGUCAUUUAUUUGAAAGGGGCAAUUGCUCCACUACAAGAUGGACCUGCGUUGUAUUAGCUAGUAGGUGAGGUAAUGGCUCACCUAGGCGACGAUACAUAGCCGACCUGAGAGGGUGAUCGGCCACACUGGGACUGAGACACGGCCCAGACUCCUACGGGAGGCAGCAGGAGGGAAUCUUCGGCAAUGGGGGCAACGCUGACCGAGCAACGCCGCGUGAGGGAAGAAGGGUUUCGGAUCGUAAAGUUCUGUUGUAAGUCAAGAACGGGUGUGGGAGUGGAAAGUUCACACUGUGACGGUAGCUUACCAGAAGGGGACGGCUAACUACGUG
RNAcentral lists this ribosomal RNA (497 nucleotides) under uncultured bacterium. RNAcentral's name for it is "partial 16S ribosomal RNA". It matches the Rfam family "Bacterial small subunit ribosomal RNA", at positions 28 to 507 of the family's 1533-position model. The record is from RNAcentral.